Molecule: ribosomal RNA, 253 nt
Filed under: uncultured bacterium
Lineage: Bacteria
Description: partial 16S ribosomal RNA
Rfam family: Bacterial small subunit ribosomal RNA
Source: RNAcentral
UACGUAGGGUGCGAGCGUUGUCCGGAAUUACUGGGCGUAAAGAGCUCGUAGGCGGUUUGUCGCGUCGGGAGUGAAAACCCAGGGCUUAACCCUGGGCUGGCUUCCGAUACGGGCAGACUAGAGGUAUGCAGGGGAGAACGGAAUUCCUGGUGUAGCGGUGAAAUGCGCAGAUAUCAGGAGGAACACCGGUGGCGAAGGCGGUUCUCUGGGCAUUACCUGACGCUGAGGAGCGAAAGUGUGGGGAGCGAACAGG